RNAcentral lists this microRNA precursor (65 nucleotides) under Nannospalax galili (Upper Galilee mountains blind mole rat). RNAcentral's name for it is "miRNA (ENSNGAG00000005346.1)". Lineage: Eukaryota; Metazoa; Chordata; Mammalia; Rodentia; Spalacidae. The record is from RNAcentral.
CUGCUCCUGGACAGCUGUCACCAUGUGGUUCCUGGUCCUGGCCCUGGCCCUGGCCCUGGCCCUGG